GAUCGCCAUCAUCUGAAUACAGGCUGAUAAAAUCAACCAAGAUGAAACUUCUUUUGUGCUUCUUUGCUUUAGCUGGCCUUGUCGCCAGUGAAGUAUCACAAAAAAUUGUUGGAGGAUCCAAUGCUUAUGCCGGACAAUUUCCUUGGCAAGCGUCUCUUCAGAGAAGUUCUGGAAGCAGCUGGUCUCAUAUCUGUGGUGGAAGUUUGAUUUCCAGCAACCGAGUUUUAACCGCUGCCCAUUGUGUUUCUCCCAACAGUCCCGGGUCAUAUCGAGUUGUUCUUGGUGACCACAGAUUAAACAACAAUGAUGGUACAGAACAGGUCAUUUAUAUCAGUUCUAUUGUAAACCAUCCUAACUACAAUGGUAAUGCUAAUGGAUACCCUAACGACAUUUCUGUUAUGAGACUUGCAUCCAAUGCAAAUACCGGAAGUUCAGCUGUCAGCACUGUUACUCUGGCCCCAUAUGGAUCAAGUUUUACUGGUCAAAAAUGUACAAUCAGUGGAUGGGGUAGAACAGUAGGUGGUGGUAGUCUACCAAACACCCUUCAAUAUGUAUCUAUGAAUAAAAUCUCUAACAGUGAAUGUACCAGUAGAUGGGGUAGCAGUAUCAACAGUGGACAUAUCUGUGUUCAUGAAACAGGAAAAUCAGCCUGUAACGGUGACAGUGGUGGACCUAUGAUCUGUAAUGGUUAUUUGGCUGGAGUUACAUCAUGGGGAGCGUCUGGAUGUCCAGGCACCUAUCCUAGUGUGUAUACCCGAGUAUCACAAUACCUUAGCUGGAUUGCUUCUAUUUAAGAUAAAUCUAUAA
Patella vulgata (common limpet) is the source of this 807-nucleotide long non-coding RNA. RefSeq lists it as uncharacterized. The record is from RefSeq and is a predicted model, not a curated record. Lineage: Eukaryota; Metazoa; Mollusca; Gastropoda; Patellidae. The transcript has 6 exons.